RNAcentral lists this long non-coding RNA (2040 nucleotides) under Helianthus annuus (common sunflower). Its description in RNAcentral is "hypothetical non coding rna". The record is from RNAcentral. Lineage: Eukaryota; Viridiplantae; Streptophyta; Magnoliopsida; Asterales; Asteraceae.
GCUCAUUUCUUUCUUCUUCUCUCUAUACGUUGGUGUUCUAACCAAUAAUCACUGAUGCGAUGUUCUGUCCGAUCGAUUCAGGAACCAACUAACGGAUGCCAAAGUACUAUACUUUGAGAGUUCGUUAAACGGAUGCCAAAGUGCUAUACUUUGUGAUUUCGGCAAACGGAAUCCAAAGUGUUACACUUUGUGAAAAUCGUUAAGGUUCGAAUCUCGUGACUACCGUUAAGGUUUGAUUUGGGUUUUACACAAAUACGUAUUCCAUUCUGUUAAACUAUAUGUUUAACUACCAAAAAUACUCCCAACUACACACUCACAAUCAAACAAACUAUUAAAUCAUCAGAAGAUCCACAAUAAUAAAGUGCAUGCUUAAUUAUCGGAAGAAGUAGAAUCAAGAAGCUUGUUAACUCAAUCUUGCAUGCUUAUAAAGGAUUAAGUCUUUGUAAUCACCAAAUUACAGCCGGUAUGUGGGGUAUUGUGCACAUUACUAUUGUUUUUAUCAGUUUAGGUGGGCGUACCUAAAUCCUGAUACACUUUUAGGUGAACGGACCUAAAAAGUGAUUGACGUCACUUGUGGGUGAACGAACCCAACAGUGAUAUGACCACAGUCACCGAAACGAGUCGAGUGACAAAUAGUGUGGGUAGUUGGUUUGAUAUCAGAAACAUUGUAAUCGCUCUUAAUACUGUAAAUUAUAACAAAUCUGUUUUAUAUAAAACCUGAAUGAACUCACUCAGUAUUUCCCGCUGACAAAACCUUUUUAAAACGCGUUUCAGGUAAUUACAGUAGAUUAGAGUAAGGAUUGGAUCCAGCACUGAAGGACUUCAAGAAGUGGCUUAUUUUAUUAAUUAAAUCAACUUAAGAAAUAUUGUUUUUGGGUUUAUCCCGUAUUAAAAGCUACCUUUGUAAAACAUGGAAUUUAUUCCAUCUAUUUAAAUAAAAUCCGGUGUUUCUAAACUCUGAUAUUUUUCCUAACUCACGGUCCUGAUGAAAUUUCCGCUGCAAUGUUUUUCAAAAUAAUCACCGAUACCACUUGACUGCUCGCGGCUUCUGAUUCCGGCCAGGAUGGGGUCGGGGGUCGUGACAGGAUGGUAAGAUGUAGAGAGUCUUACCUCUACCCCGUAGGAAUAGAGAGGCUGUUUCCAGUGAUACCCCCGGCUCUAUAGUAGUUUUGCAUCAAGCCUUGGACAUAAGGUACGUAACACUCAGCAAUCGGGACAAAGACCGAUUAGUGCGUGUACCCUUUUGUCUUUCAGCUAUCAAUGCCACCACAUGAUGCAGGAUUAACCGUCCUCGGCUUUUAACGUUAUUUUCAUGAAAUUAGUAAAAUAACAUUAGAAUUAGUGCACUUUCACUUUUGCCCCCCGAUAACCCACACAUAUAUACAUUAUAUAUGCUCCUAGGAACAGUAAAACACGAAAAAGCUAAUAAAAACUUCUUGAUUCCUCACUGAUUAUGGUCCAUGACAACAAACAUGUAUUAACGAAUUAUUUUUUCCUGAAGCUACUUGUUAACGGGCUUCAUAAAAAUGUUUUUUCCAUGAAGCUAGCUACAUAGUAAUAUAGUUUAAUUUGAAGGCAAUAACGUUGGUGAUUUUUCUUUUGUUAUAAAUUUCGAUAUUAAAGUAUGUUAAACAAAACAACGUUUAGUAUUGUAUUCAUGAGCAUUAGAGUUAUAUGCAAUAUAAGUAGUUGUAACUGAGAAACACAAGAUUAUAUAUAUAAGUAAGACUAUCCGAAUCAUCGUUAGGGGGUGAAGGGUGUCCGCCUGAGUCUCUGCCUAAGAUGACUGACCAAUAGAUCCAUACCCCCUAUCACUUUUCAUGGCCAAAGUGGCACUACAUCUUUCUCUCACAAAACUCCCAAAGAUUUAUCCUUACGCAAUUAUCAUCUCUUCUCUCUCUCACCUUCCCCUCAAAGGAUCUCUUUGCUCUCUCUACCAAUGAAAAUUGUCUAAAUGUGUGUUUUAGAUUACGUUUUAGAACCAAUUGUCAUAUGAAAGAUUGUUUUUAAAAAGCAUUAUCAAACUAGUUUUUACUUUUU